UUUGGUCAUCUAGAAGAAGUGUUACAGAUUUUGAGUAAUCAUCUGCUAUUUGCUUAGUUGUCAAAAUGCAAUUUUGGGAUCACCAAGGUGGACUAUUUGGGUCACACAGUUUCUAAACGAGGGGUAGAAAUGGAUGAAUCAAAGGUUCAAUCUAUUUUGGCUUGGCCAGUUCCUGGAUCCAUUAAAUAGCUUUGUGAAUUUCUUGGCAUGAUAGGUUACUAUAGGCAUUUUAUAAAGCGGUAUACCACUCAUGCAUUCCCUUUAACUUCAUUACUAAAAAAAUAUUUUUAAGUGGUCCCCUAAAGCUACUGAUGCUUGUGUUAAGUUAAAGCAGGCUAUUACUAUGACACUAGUUUUGGCCCUUCCAAAUUUUUCGUUACCUUUUGUUCUAGAGACCGAUGCAUCAGGUACUGGGAUUAGGGUUGUACUAAGUCAAGGCCAUCACCCAAUUGCUUAUUUCUCAAAGAUAUUAUAUCGCCUAGAAUGUAGAAGCAAUCUGCUUAUAGUUGCAAACUGUAUGCAAUCAUGGAGACUCUAGCAAAGUUUCACCAUAAUCUGUUAGGGCAGAAGUUUAUCAUUAGGACUGAUCAACGAAGUCUUAAGUCUUUAUGCAAUCAGAUCAUUCAAACCCCCGAGCAACAUGUAUGGAUUCACAAAUUUUGGGGGUAUGAUUUUACCAUUGAGUACAAGCCCGACAAGGAAAAUGUUGCUGCGGACACCCUUUCCAGGUCCUUUUUCAUGGCCUUAUCCGAGCCACAUGCCUCCUUAUUGUCUCAAAUUGAGCAAGCCACGAAUAUGGACCUUCCUUGUUGGAUAUUCCCACCAAGUGUGUGGAAGGGAAUGCCCUUGACCGUUACUUUCAUGUUGCAAAUAAUUUGAUGUACUAGAAAUAAAGGAUAGUGGUUCCAAACCAACCCGAAUUAGCUACGUCAAUUCUCAAAGAAUUCCAUUCACCACAAAUUGGAGGGCAUUCUAGAGUAGCCUGCACCAAGGCUCGGAUUGCAAGUCUAUUUUAUUGGCCUACUAUGGCGAAGUACAUUAAGUUGGUUGUGUCCCAACACUUGGUGUGCCAACAAGCUAAAUCUUCUAAUGCCUUACUUGCUGGCCUCUUGCAACCAUUGCCGAUAUCGACACAGAUUUGGGAGGAUGUGGCCAUGGAUUUUAUCGUCCGUUGCCGAUAGUGCCUGGGUUCACUGUUAUUAUGGUCGUGGUGGACCGUCUCUCAAAAUAUAGUCAUUUCCCCCUCUAAGAGUUGAUUACAACAACCUCAUUGUCACAAAAACCUUUAUUUAGAUGGUAGUCAAACAACAUGGUUUUCCAAAAACUAUAGUAUCUAAUAGGGAUAAGAUUUUUACAAGCAAAAUUUGGAGACAUUUGUUUCGACUAAAUGGGACAACCCUUGCCAUGAGCUCAGUCUACCAUCCCCAAUCCGAUGGGUAAUCAGAGGCCCUAAAUAAAUGCUUGGAAUUGUAUUUGCAUUGCUUUACUUCGAAUAACCCAAAACACUAGUUGAAGUUGUUGCCUUGAGCUGAGUUUUGGUACAAUAUUUCUCAUCACAACAACAUUGGCAUGACACCUUUCAAGGUUGUUUAUGGUCAUGAUCCCCCAACUUUGAUCUGCUAUCAGAUGACUACAAUGGACCCACCAAACUUGCAAGAAAUGCUACAGUUGUGGGACACGAUACUAGUUCAGCUCAAGGCCAAUUUGAAUAGGGUCCAACAGUUUAUGAAAAAGCAUGCAUACCAGAAUAGGCUACCAUUGGAAUUUCAAAUUGGGGGCAUGGUAUCGAUGAAACUUCAACCUUAUCGCCAGUAUUCGGUGGCUUUGCGUAAAAACCAUAAACUUGGUCUCCAUUACUUUGGCCCUUUUCUGGUGUUAGAAAAAAUUGGUACAGUAGCCUAUAAACUCUUGUUACCUCCUAUGGAAAAAAUACAUCCAGUGUUUCACAUUUCAUUACUGAAACAUUGCAAAGGCAAUCAUACAACCUCGUUUGUUCCAUUACCAUUAUUGUCAGUUGAACAAGCACUACUACAAAAGCUUGAAUUUACGACGCGCCAUUUACGACGGUUCUCAAGAACUGAUUUAGAAUAUGGCGCGGUGGCAAUUUUGUAAAUAAGGAAACAAAAAUUUGUUUUUACGUCGUACAUUCUAAGAUGGUUAUAAAUAACCGUCUUAGAAUGGGUGUUGGUGGCAAUGUUGUAAUUACUAUAAAUUAAGACAACAUCGGUUUUUAUCCUAAGAUUGUCUUUGUAUAACAUAAUAACCUAAGGCGCUUCUACUCCUGGCCCUCACCCAUUCUCUGAGCCAUCGUGUUUUCCUGAGCCAUUCUCUCCCCACCUCACGCAGAUUUUGUCCCUCAACCUCAACUAUCAAUUAAGACAAAGCUUGUUCCUUAGCCAUUCCUCAACCUCAUGCGCACUCUGAACUCAGUGAAUCACACCACACAACACAGACAAUAUCUCAGUCUCAAUCUCAGGUCAUUGCUCAUAACUUAGUUGCGCUUUGCUUUCUAUUUUCACUUGACUGCAGUUGAACAAAUCUAUACUCACAUCACAGGUUGCUUCCUAUGAGUUUACCACCUUAACUUGCAUCCCAGGUGUGAUCACAUAUCGUGGAGCUAAAAUCCAGGUAU
Long non-coding RNA from Glycine soja, 2632 nucleotides. RefSeq lists it as uncharacterized. The record is from RefSeq and is a predicted model, not a curated record. The transcript has 3 exons. NCBI's taxonomy places the organism in Eukaryota, Viridiplantae, Streptophyta, Magnoliopsida, Fabales, Fabaceae.